UUGUAAAGAAAAAAAAACGACCACAGGAGGACCACGGGCUCGCCUCCUCCCCCUCUCACCCACGCCGCCGCCGCCACCACCCACGCCGCCGCCACCACCACCCACGCCGGCUGCUUCCGGCGACCUCCGAUGCCGCGCAGCACGCCCCCGAGCUCCCCACGGUCCGCGCCUCCCUCCCCUCCGGCCAGAUUCUCCGCUCCGGUCCUCUACCGCCCGCUCGCAACCCCACCCCCGUGGCUAGGGUUUCGGGCAGGGCAUCGCCGGCGCGUCUCCGGCGGACCCAGGAAUUUUUUGUGAGUGUCAUGGGGAUAUCUGCCUCGGAAAAUCAGGUUGCUGAAAUCACCAACGAAACUGAUGGUAAGAAAGUAGACCCGAGCAAGACCGAUAUAACCCCCGGAAUGCAGGGUGAGGAGGAACAUAACAAACUCUCCGGGAAGGAAACUGCUCUAUGAUACAGACAACAAAGAAGAAGAUGAAGAGGGUAACAGUAGAAGCCGGAACCUAACAAUCACCGCUGCGAAGUAUGAGGAGGUGUUUGAAGAAGCUCACCCCGCCAUUCCCACCAAGCAGGUUGAAAACAAAUGCCCCAAGCAAUACACCAACUGAUCGAGCUACACAAAUUUUCCCACACAAGUCACAAGAGGCUGUGUACCUCUUCGGUACAGGCUACUGGUACCAGCCAGAACACCUCGAGAUGGUUUGUGAUGAGUUUCUGCUCUAGGAAUGGCAGGGCGCUGCUGCUCGAGAGAUAGGCGUUGAUUGCUGCAAUUUAGGGCUUGAUUGAGCUGCUGCUAGAAAGAGAGAGAGAACAGAGAGGGAGAGACAGGGUUCCAAUGCUUACUGAUCUGGUUUUGGUGAGCAAAAAAUGAGAAAUAGGAGAGGAACAGAGAGAGCAGAGAGAUAGAGAGCGCAGAGAGAGAGGCACACAUCACUGAACCCUUUGGAUUCUAAUGCAAGGUUGAAUAUUUUUUGUGUGUUCUAACUCUCUGGGCCAAUAUGCAGUUUUUUGGCUUAUCAUUGUGCCUCAAGUUUCUGACAUCGCGUGGCUGUACCACUGAUUACGAGUCGAGGGACUAGUCGAGACUAGUCGACAGACUAGUCUACGAGUCGCAACUUGAGUGUCGACUGCAAAUCUCGUGUAGACUACUUGGUCGAGUCGAGCAGUUGACAGACUAGUCGAGCUAUUUGAGUCGAGCGACUCAAAAUUUUGAGGGGAUAAGUCACCCAGCCUGGCCGGAGCUCGUGCUUGGGCAGAGGCCAUAGCCGUGACACGUAGGAGUGCGCGGCCCUGAGACAAGAGAGAAGGAAGAGAGAUAGAGGAGAGGAGAGGAGGAGGCAUGGCGGUGAUCGGCGGCAGCGGCCGGAGGCGUGGGUUGCGCGCGCGUGCUCCCUUGUGUGAUGAUGCUGGCGGCUGCAAUGGGAUCGAUCGGGAGCUAGGGUUCCAGUUACUGGGGGGGCUAAGUAGGCUGGCCACUUGGGCCCAAAUGGGCCAGCUGGGGGGCUGCUGCGUGGCGCUGGGCUGGGCUUGGUGAGCGUCGCCUAGCACUUCUGGUGUUAUUGCAUACUGUACUGUUAGUAUGUACUACAUACACCGCUCAGAAAAUAUAUAUACUACAUACUACUACUAGUUAUUAAUAAUUGAGUACUACAGUACCAUGUCGACUAGUCCAGCACUAGUCUAGACUAGUCACGAUUAGUCUAUGAGUCUCAACCUCGGAACGACUCGUCGACUUGUCGACUCGUAAACCUUGGGCUGUACACCGACGACUUUCGCCGAUAAUCCGUCUGCUCGUACUCGACCGUUCGCUGGAACUUUGUCUGACCUGAGGUACAUACUACGGUGUCAUCAAUUGCAUCUGUCAUCAAAGACUACUUAUUAAUUUUGUAUGUUCUUUAGUAUAUGCUCUUUAAGCUCUGAACAAGUCAAUGCCUGAAAUACCACAUGUAGUCAUUACAAGAUGAUCUUCGGGAAAGACAAUAAUUACAAGUAGCGAUUAAAGGAUAUAAAGCUAGCUAAAUUUUUAUCUAGGAAGAACAGCUGCUGUAUGACAGGAAAAAUUUAAGAAAAGAUAAACUAAUAUCAUGGUGAUGGCAUUAAUUGACUAUUUUGUAAGUAGCAAUCAAAGGUGAUAAAGGUAGCAAAUUUUUUAUCUAGGAAGAACAGCUGUUGUGACAGAAAUGAAAGCUAAAUAUACAAGUAUAUACUUGUUCGUGUCUAUCAAUUUAAUUUCAUGAGUAUUUCAAAUUCAUUCUUCUUACUUCUUCAGAUAAUACGGUAUAUGCUACUUUUGUUCAGGUAUAUACUUCUUUUUACCACUUUUACUUUUUCUCAGCGGAUUCAUGCAUGCUUCUCCUCAUAGGUUUCCCUUAGUUCAGUACUUAAUUUUUUUGGUGUAUACUUUCUCCUCGUCAGAGUAUACGUACAACAAGACAGAAAGAAACAUAUACUGUUGAUCGAUACUGAAAUAUCAUAUGGAAGAUAGCCCUCUCUUCUAUACCCCAUUGUGAAAAGUAGUAUACUAUCAAUUGAAAACACACCAUAUACUCCUUUCAGACAAUGAGUAUACACUGAUCGUUAUUGCCAGUAUCAUAGGUAUAUACUCUGAGAAUAGUUGUAUAUAUCCCAUUUGAAAAUAUAAAUAUGUAUAUACUCCUUGCAAACUACUCAUCAUUUAAACGUUUUUACAUAAGAUUGUCCGUCUGGAUACAAUAACUAAUUAGUAUUUUAAUAACUUAAAUUGCAUGGCUUGAUCGUCUGCUUGAGUCUUCUCUUAUGUAUGAGUGCACCAUGUGUGGGUUAAUUUUUUUUGGGUCUUCUAAUUCUCUGUGGUAAUUUGCAUCUAUAUUUGUGCUAAUUGGCAAGGUGCAUGAAUAAUGAUUUAUCUAAGUUUUUUGCUUAAUGGAAAGGCCUUUUCAGUUAAAAAACCCCUACUGAUUUGAUCAACAGAACAUGCGUCUGUUUUUAAAUAGCUGAAUUUCUACUUAUUUAAUUGACUAUUGUGGUGUCAAGAUCCAAUAGCCUUGCUAUUAGUUAAUGCUCUAUUUAUAUUUUCUUCCAACAAAACAAAUGUAUGUUUACAGCAAAAAAACUCGUCAUUUCCAGCAAAAACAAUGGCUCGCUGUCGCCAGGUCGCAGCAAAAGUUUUGGCCGGUCCCAUAAGAAAAUUAGUUCCAACAAAAAAAGAUUGUUGUCGCGGUCACAUGUACUAUACUCUACGCCUCCUGAAGAUGUGCAUUAAUGGUUGGCUGUUAUAAUACAUAUAUGUAAGAUUCCAUGUUAUACCAGCUUAGCAGAACUUCACGGAAAUUUGCUAGAGGUGUUGCAACAGCCUUGAUCAAAUAUUAUUUUCAUUAUUCCUUCUUGGUUUGAGACAAUAACAGUAGAUAAUCUUCAUCGAAAUUUGCUAGAGAAGUUCCAACAGCUUUGAUCAAAUAUUAUUUUUAUUAUUCCUUCUUGGUUUUAGACAAUGAAGUAGAGAAUCUAAAUACUUCUACUUUAUGUGUACUUGUAAUAGAGCAACGCUUGGUGCAGCUAGCUGCAACAGGGACCAACUUGACUUGAUGGGGAUACAAUCACCAAGAAAGAAUCAUACCUGAACUUACCUUUAUGCAUUGCACGAGCUACCAAUAUAUUGUAUCUUCCUGUAUGAUCCGUAACUCAUAGACACAUGAGUAGCGAUGGAUACUAUUUGGUAUGAACAACAUCAUCAUCUUGCAAUUCUAACAUGUAUUCAUUAACUUAUUUAUCCACAUAAUAGUGAUGCAUCUUACGUUUCUGUCUAUUGUAUCUGAAUCUAAAAUGCAAUUAACUCCUUAAUUUGCCUUCAACAGGAUUGAGCGAUCUGGCAUGUAAGCUUAGCUCGGUGGUUCAGAUUAUCACUGUUAGUCUUCUGCUCGUGGCAAUUUUUUAGACCUCUUGAGUUAUCUCAACGAAUCUGGUGUGAAGCUAUGAAGGGAUUUUUCUUGAAAACAAUACUGAAAGGAUACCUUAACUUCAUUUUAUCCCCUAGAUUAGUAUACGUAUAUUAAGUCCCCAUUUAUUUUAGAUGUAUAGCUUGCAUGACAGUUUUGUUUAAACAGAUUUUUUGGGCAUUUUGCAAUUCUCACAUAUGUUGUUACCCAUGCACUUACUUUUAUCAUUUCCAGUGUCAAUGUUUACAAAAUUGUUAAAUCUUUUUUUAUUGGAGUUCAGCCAUGUUUUCCACCAAGGAUUCAACUUGCAAGCAUCUGAAUCUUAUGUUGUCCGAUUCA
Molecule: long non-coding RNA, 4251 nt
Organism: Triticum aestivum (bread wheat)
Lineage: Eukaryota; Viridiplantae; Streptophyta; Magnoliopsida; Poales; Poaceae
Exons: 2
Source: RefSeq, a predicted model, not a curated record